This 678-nucleotide long non-coding RNA is filed under the name Ananas comosus (pineapple). Its description in RNAcentral is "long non-coding RNA (ACOM_LNC029372)". Lineage: Eukaryota; Viridiplantae; Streptophyta; Magnoliopsida; Poales; Bromeliaceae. The record is from RNAcentral.
AUAGUUGUUAUUCUCACCCUAAACCAUACUUAAUUUCUCAAUCCUAAACAUAUUAUAACAUUCUUUAAAUCUGUUGACUUAAAGGGACCAGCAUCCUAUGUUAUGGUGGGAGGUCGCGUUGAGUUGAGUUACGUUCGAAAUGACGUGAGGCUGAGUUAGGCCGAAUCAUACUCGAAGUAGCACGAGGCUGGUUGGGCUGAGCUACAGUCAAAACCCAUGGGCACUGUGUCUAUAAGCUUUAAGUAAAUUAGUUGCGUAUUUCUAACACUUCGAGCUUUUGGGAUUAGUGAUUAGCGCCAACGAUCCAACAAAUUGUAUCAUAGUCAGAGGCCAAGAGGCCAUGGGUUCAAUUCCUGCAUGCUACGAAUUUAUGUAAAUUCUGGAGAAGGGAUUAUUGGUUUAAAGGAACUAUCAUCCUGCCCUGUGACGGAAGAUUUGGUUGCAUUGAGUCAUGUUCGAAAUGACGUGAGACUGAUUAAGCUGAGUCAUAAUCAAGAUUUAUUAGAGUUGUGUCUGCACACUUUAAGUAAAUUUGUUGUAUAUUUAUAACAGCUCGAGUUUUUAAAAUUAAUUAUUAGCGUCAACGAUUACAAUUACAAUUACCAAUUUAUAUAUCAUCAAGGAUUUGGGCUUAAUUUCUUCUGCUGUAAUUUUAUUUUUACUUUUUUUUUUUUUUCU